CUUGGUCAUUUAGAGGAAGUAAAAGUCGUAACAAGGUUUCCGUAGGUGAACCUGCGGAAGGAUCAUUACCUAGAGUUUGCAGACUUCGGUCUGCUACCUCUUACCCAUGUCUUUUGAGUACCUUCGUUUCCUCGGCGGGUCCGCCUGCCGGUUGGACAACAUUCAAACCCUUUGCAGUUGCAAUCAGCGUCUGAAAAAACUUAAUAGUUACAACUUUCAACAACGGAUCUCUUGGUUCUGGCAUCGAUGAAGAACGCAGCGAAAUGCGAUAAGUAGUGUGAAUUGCAGAAUUCAGUGAAUCAUCGAAUCUUUGAACGCACAUUGCGCCCCUCGGUAUUCCAUGGGGCAUGUCUGUUCGAGCGUCAUUUGUACCUUCAAGCUCUGCUUGGUGUUGGGUGUUUUGUCUCGCCUCCGCGCGCAGACUCGCCCUAAAACAAUUGGCAGCCGGCGCAUUGAUUUCGGAGCGCAGUACAUCUUGCGCUUUGCACUCAUAACGACGACGUCCAAAAGUACAUUUUUACACUCUUGACCUCGGAUCAGGUAGGGAUACCCGCUGAACUUAAGCAUAUCAAUAAGCGGAGGA
This 583-nucleotide ribosomal RNA is filed under the name Epicoccum nigrum. Its description in RNAcentral is "eukaryotic LSU rRNA". The stretch from base 212 to 365 matches the Rfam family "5.8S ribosomal RNA". Lineage: Eukaryota; Fungi; Ascomycota; Dothideomycetes; Pleosporales; Didymellaceae. The record is from RNAcentral.